This 197-nucleotide small nuclear RNA is filed under the name Paramuricea clavata. RNAcentral's name for it is "U2 spliceosomal RNA". It matches the Rfam family "U2 spliceosomal RNA". Rfam says of the family: U2 is a small nuclear RNA (snRNA) component of the spliceosome (involved in pre-mRNA splicing). Lineage: Eukaryota; Metazoa; Cnidaria; Anthozoa; Malacalcyonacea; Plexauridae. The record is from Rfam by way of RNAcentral.
AAAGCUUUGUAAAUACUCAUUAUAUGAAAUAAAUUUAUUACGAUCUGUUCUUAUCAGCUUAAUAUCUGAUAUGUUAGGCAAUGCCUAACUCAUAUAUUAAACUGAUUUUUGGACUUCGGCCAUGGGAUUGAAGCUUGCUUCGCCCUGGCCACGGGUUGUCUCGGUAUUGCACUACAUCCGAGUACGGCCCCUUCCCC